GCCGCCGUCCCUGCCGCCGAGCUCGCUGGCUGGCCCGGUGCGGGCGCCGGGCUCCUGCCACAGGAGAGGACCACCAGCGCCACCACCACCACUUCGGCCCGGGCCCGGGCACCGGCCCCGCCCCGGGCCCCGGCCUGAGCCCCCCGCCCGGCCGGGCGAUGGAGUGUCACUACGAGGCGCUGGGGGUGCGGCGCGACGCCAGCGAGGAGGAGCUCAAGAAGGCCUAUCGGAAGCUGGCCCUGAAAUGGCACCCGGAUAAAAAUCUGGAUAAUGCCGCAGAAGCAGCUGAACAAUUUAAACUAAUCCAAGCAGCGUAUGAUGUGCUAAGCGACCCUCAGGAAAGAGCAUGGUAUGAUAAUCAUAGAGAGGCUCUGCUUAAAGGUGGGCUUGCUGGAGAGUAUCAAGAUGACAGCUUAGAUUUGCUUCACUAUUUCACUGUGACCUGUUACUCUGGUUAUGGAGAUGAUGAAAAGGGCUUUUAUACAGUGUAUCGUAAUGUUUUUGAAAUGAUUGCCAAGGAAGAACUAGAAUCUUCUUUAGAAGAGGAUGUUGAGGAUUUCCCAACUUUUGGAGACUCCCAGAGUGACUAUGAUACGGUAGUCCAUCCUUUCUACGCUUAUUGGCAGAGUUUCUGCACUCAGAAGAACUUUGCUUGGAAAGAAGAAUAUGAUACACGACAGGCUUCAAACCACUGGGAGAAACGAGCCAUGGAAAAAGAGAACAAAAAGAUUCGAGACAAAGCAAGGAAAGAGAAGAAUGAGCUUGUCCGUCAGCUCGUAGCUUUCAUCCGUAAAAGAGAUAGAAGAGUGCAGGCUCAUCGAAAACUUGUGGAAGAACAGAACGCAGAGAAGGCGAGGAAAGCCGAAGCAAUGAGGCGGCAGCAGAAGCUAAAGCAGGCCAAACUGGCAGAGCAGUACAAAGAGCAGAGCUGGAUGACGGUGGCCGAUUUGGAGAAGGAGCUCAGGGAGAUGGAGGCGCAGUAUGAAAAGGAGUUUGGAGAUGGAUCAGGUGAAGAUGAAGCGGAAGAACGGGAACUCCAAGACGGACAGGAUGGUAAAGAUGGUGACGAGGCUGAGGAUGCAGAACUUUAUGAUAGCCUUUACUGCCCAGCAUGUGACAAAUCUUUCAAGACGGAAAAGGCCAUGAGGAAUCAUGAAAAAUCAAAGAAGCAUCGGGAAAUGGUUGCCCUGUUAAAACAACAGUUGGAGGAGGAGGAAGCAAAUUUUUCAGGACCUCAAACUGAUGAAAACAGUCUGGAUGCCAAUUCUGAGGAAGAAACGGAGGAUGCACCAAAACAAAAACUUUCUAAAAAACAGAAGAAAAAGAAACAGAAACCAGCACAGAAUUAUGAUGAUAAUUUCAAUGAAAAUGGAACUGGAGAAGCAGUAAAGGUUGAUCCAGAAGAUAACAGCCUAAAUCAAGGCAGUGCCAAAGGAUUGGAAGAUAUUCCCCAGGAAAAUGUCAGUGUUACAGAGACUGUGGAACGGUGUGAUGACCCCAAAAGUGAAGCUAAAAGUGUUUCUAAACCCAAAGGAAAGAAAGCCAAAGAUACUAAAAAAUCUGUCAGAGUGCCUGCUGAACUACAGACAGUGAGUGAUGUUCUUAUCAGCUGUACAACCUGCCAUAGUGAAUUUCCAUCCCGGAAUAAACUUUUCGACCAUCUAAAGGCCACAGGUCAUGCAAGAGCACCUUCAUCAUCAUCUUUAAACAGUGUAACAGAUAGUCGAAGCAAAAAAGAGAAACGUAAAAACAGAUAGAAAUCCUGCCAAUGCUUUUUCUUUUUGAUUGUCUCUAGAUUUUGACACCAAAAACUGAACUGAAAUCAUCUAAAGAGUUAAAAUUUCAGUCAUCUGCAAUUUAUUGCAUUGUGGGAGAUUAUUUUUAUCUUGUAGAAACGUUUUUUUGUUUAAUACAUAUUUUUUAAACAUUUCAUUGGUGAUUGAAUUCUACUUUUGCCAUCUGAAUUGACUUGAAUGUCUCAGAACAGAAGACAGCUGGAUUCUGAUAGCUACUUCUUCAGUCAGUCUGUUGCUGUAUGUUUUGGUUAAAGUAUGUGAAGAAAAUUGAGCCUCAUGUGGAUAGGAAAUUGGAAAAAGAAGGACCUUGUGGAUCUCCCAGGGUCCUCAGACCACGCUCAGAACUGCUGCAUUAGAAAAAUGGAUUGGCAAAAGGCAAAAAGUCUCACAAGAUCAAGUGUUGGUGAGAAUGGAGAAAUGGGAACAAUUGCUUCAGUUUGAUGGUGGCUAUGAAAGUUGAAGACGUACCCCCUGACCUGACAACUCCAGGGGUAUACUAGAGUCUCACAGUGUCUGCAGAGGCACAGCAUGGGCUCUACCUGAGGACUGUCACGCAGGUCCCACUCCUGACCUGCUGGGUGAGAAUUUGCAAUUAACAAGACUUCUCAGGUGACUCGCAAGCUUCUUGCAUCUUGAGAAGCAGUGCUCUCAGGAAUCCAGGCGCAUGUGGCCAAGGAGACUUAGUGGCUGAUCACAGCUGAAUUGCUUGUAUCUGGGAAAAGUUGGAGAUGGACCCUAAAUCUCCGUGAACAAGAAAGUGGAUAAAUUGUAUAAUGGACAGUAAGAUGGCAAACAAGCAGUUCAAAUGAGUGAACUGGAUAUGUAAUACCAAUGGCUAGCCUUAAAAAAAUACUGAAUGAAAACAAGCUGUCAGAAGGUGACAUGUAUGCCACUUAUAUAUAGUUUUUUUAAAGUACUGUUGUUAUUUAUAGAGAGAAAAUAUAGAACCAUCAAUGGGAAACACAUCAUUCAGAAAAGUAGUUGCCUCUGGAAACGGAGGGAGAGGGGUGGAAUGGGGGCGUGGCAGCAAAGGGGCCUUAUCUGAGGCAAGACUUCUAAUUAAGAUCUGAAGGAAGAUGUUAGCAUUAAUUCUGGGUGGUGGGUAAUGAGGGUUUAUCACUCUACUAACAUGUUUUCAUGAAAUACUUCAAAUAUCCAGAGAAAUACAAAUUAAUGUUCCAUUUUUUGUUAAUAGAAAAUACACUUGCACGAAAGGGGAGAUAAAGGUUUUCAGGUCUACAUUUUAUUCCUAGCAUAUUCCAUUAGCUCACUGUGGCAGAGGCUGUUACUUGUUUCUCUCAAUAUUCAUUCUUCCCUUCUUCCUUAUAAUUCUGAUUUUUGAUUGGGCACAAAGCCACCUAAAAUUUUACCUUCCUAGCCUCCCUUGCAGCUAGGAGUCUGUAAGUUCUGGUCAGUGAUCUGAGCAACUUUGGGGACAUGUCCUGAAAGAUGUGUGGGAUGUCCUUAUUCCUUCCUCCGCCAGCUUCAGUGAACGGGUAGGUAAUGGUUGGCGCUCUACCCCUGUCUGGGACCAUGAAUCCUCACAGGGCAGAGAAACUGAAGCCCAGGAGCUUCCAUCCUUGACAUGUAGAGGGACCCUAUAAGCCCCAGACAACCUCCUUCUGCAUUCAAGAGAAAUAAAACUCCUGCAUUACUGAA
Lagenorhynchus albirostris (white-beaked dolphin) is the source of this 3455-nucleotide RNA transcript. It is a transcript of the gene named DnaJ heat shock protein family (Hsp40) member C21, with no coding region annotated. NCBI's taxonomy places the organism in Eukaryota, Metazoa, Chordata, Mammalia, Artiodactyla, Delphinidae. The transcript has 14 exons. The record is from RefSeq and is a predicted model, not a curated record.